AUAUAAGCGACUAUACUGUGAAACUGCGAAUGGCUCAUUAAAUCAGUUAUGGUUUAUUUGAUGGUACCUUGCUACUUGGAUAACCGUAGUAAUUCUAGAGCUAAUACAUGCAGGAGUUCCCGACUCACGGAGGGAUGUAUUUAUUAGAUAAGAAACCAAACCGGUCUCCGGUUGCGUGCUGAGUCAUAAUAACUGCUCGAAUCGCACGGCUCUACGCCGGCGAUGGUUCAUUCAAAUUUCUGCCCUAUCAGCUUUCGAUGGUAGGAUAGAGGCCUACCAUGUUUUUCUACGGUAAUUUGGUUCAGUACGAGAG
This 313-nucleotide non-coding RNA is filed under the name Emiliania huxleyi. RNAcentral describes it as "Eukaryotic small subunit ribosomal RNA". It matches the Rfam family "Eukaryotic small subunit ribosomal RNA", at positions 63 to 390 of the family's 1831-position model. Lineage: Eukaryota; Haptophyta; Isochrysidales; Noelaerhabdaceae. The record is from Rfam by way of RNAcentral.